RNAcentral lists this long non-coding RNA (514 nucleotides) under Pan troglodytes (chimpanzee). RNAcentral describes it as "long non-coding RNA NONPTRT010563". The record is from RNAcentral. Lineage: Eukaryota; Metazoa; Chordata; Mammalia; Primates; Hominidae.
UGUCAGGGACAUCUUUGUUCCAAGGAGAUGCAAAGUACUACUUGAUGGUCAUCUAGAUAAAGGAUGUGAACGAAAGACGGGGAACAAGAGUAUAGCUUUGGAGAGGACAUAUUACAGUGGUACCCUUGAAGAACUGGAUACCUACUUUUCUUGAGGGAAGCUUUUUCUACGUGGAUCAACUUACAAGAAUGGUUCAAGAGAUGGCCCUUACUAAACAAAGUUAUAUACUAUCCCAAAUAUGUUCCAAUUUACCUAUUUUCUUGCCUUUAGACUUGCACACUGAUUUGCUCCAUAAUGGCCCUAGAGAUGGUUCAACCCAUACUUUUGCAGCAACUGUUGCCAACACUUCAGAAUAAUGAUUUCACAUGUGCAAGGUGACUGAUAAGUAGGGACAGCUAUACCAGCACAUUAACAAGUCUGGAUACACAGAGCCUCUGGCACGCCCCAAAUGCUUACGUGAGUCACCAAGUAACACAUCUUUGACAUACGAACUAUUAUGACCUGUGGACAUGCU